UGGGGAAUAUUGCACAAUGGGCGCAAGCCUGAUGCAGCCAUGCCGCGUGUAUGAAGAAGGCCUUCGGGUUGUAAAGUACUUUCAGCGGGGAGGAAGGGAGUAAAGUUAAUACCUUUGCGCAUUGACGUUACCCGCAGAAGAAGCACCGGCUAACUCCGUGCCAGCAGCCGCGGUAAUACGGUGGUUGCAAGCGUUAAUCGGAAGUACUGGGCGUAAAGCGCACGCAGGCGGUUUGUUAAGUAAGAUGUGAAAUCCCCGGGCUCAACCUGAGAACUGCAUUCGAAACUGGCAGGCUAGAGUCUUGUAGAGGGAGGUAGAAGUCCAUGUGUAGCUGUGAAAUGCGUAGAGAUCUGGAGGAAUAACGGUGGCGAAGGCGGGCCCCUGGACAAGGACUGACGCUCAGGUGCGAAAGCGAGGGGAGCAAACAGG
This 429-nucleotide ribosomal RNA is filed under the name Chloroflexota bacterium. Its description in RNAcentral is "Chloroflexi bacterium partial 16S ribosomal RNA". It matches the Rfam family "Bacterial small subunit ribosomal RNA", at positions 355 to 776 of the family's 1533-position model. Lineage: Bacteria; Bacillati; Chloroflexota. The record is from RNAcentral.